GUGAUGUUGGGGGUGCUUAGCAAAGCAGUGCAGGAAGCCAACUUUUAUAGCGCAUCCAUAGGAAGCGUCUCCACUACAGCCUUUCACCACGCAGCAGAGAGACUGAAGAUGUAGGCAGCUGGCAAAUGUGAAAGUGAUGAAGGGGUGUUGUGAGGCUGACAGUGCUUUUUAUAGAGCGUGUGUUUUCUGGGAAGGACGUAAGAAGGGAGAUAAACAAGUGAUGACUGUGGCAAGCUGAGAAAUAGCUGCAGCAGACCAAGAUGUGCCAAGGAGAAGAUCCCUGCAAAAAGGACCACAUUUGGGUUGAACAGGACCACACAACCUGGUGUUUUGGAAAAUACGACCCUGGAAGCUGAAAUAUAUAUCUUAACUCUGGG
RNAcentral lists this long non-coding RNA (377 nucleotides) under Gallus gallus (chicken). RNAcentral describes it as "long non-coding RNA NONGGAT006885". The record is from RNAcentral. Lineage: Eukaryota; Metazoa; Chordata; Aves; Galliformes; Phasianidae.